RNAcentral lists this long non-coding RNA (291 nucleotides) under Elaeis guineensis (African oil palm). Its description in RNAcentral is "long non-coding RNA (EGUI_LNC029566)". The record is from RNAcentral. Lineage: Eukaryota; Viridiplantae; Streptophyta; Magnoliopsida; Arecales; Arecaceae.
UACCUUUAACUGAAUAAAUCAGGCAAAUAAUACUAUGCAUAACAAAUCAAUAUGUAAUUUCAUAAAAUCAUAUUCAUACUGUCAAUCAUAUAUAAAAGUCAAUUCAUCAUAAUUUCCAAUUAUGCUUUUCUUCUUAAUUUCAUCAAUUUCUUAAAUUCUUCUUACCAACCAUGACUAUGACCACAUUAUCCCUGUGGCAGGGUCAUAAUACCGCGUAUCUGCUUGCGGUGGGCUGCGAAUCAUCUGGCAGCAAAGUCCUUUGGAACCGCUGGUCUAACUGACGGUUUUGUC